CAGGGCUACCUUCCUUCCCACCCCUGUAGAGACCAUGGUGAAGUGGAUUUUUAACUCCUCCUUUGCCACGCACCACACGCAUCACCUCCAAGAGAGCUGAGUACAGUGUUAAGACAGUUACACUAUGCUUCGGAGCUGUGUUCACUGCUGCUUCUUUUGGCCCAUGAACAGUUUGUUAGAUCAGCCAGAGAUGUUGCCUGGCAACUCCUUAGUCCUUCAGUGAAGAAAGAGUUCUGCUUUUAUAUAUCAGUGUGCAAUCUUUUGAGAAACACGAGCUCCAUCAUGAAGGCUGAAUCCUGCAUGGAAGACGGUCAAUGAAAAACCAGUGCGUAGACUGCCAUCUACUGGACAACCAGAAAACAAACUGCUGAGUCGCCCUAGGACCUUGAGCAACAAAGGCAAAAAGGCAAAAUUAUGAAUACAUCAGUGGAACAGACAGGAGCAUGUAGGCACAACAAUGGUCCAGUUUGAAAUGAUUAUUUGCAAAAGAGUGUACAUUUCUACUUUCAAUGUUUGUACAGAGUCACUGGAG
RNAcentral lists this long non-coding RNA (532 nucleotides) under Cricetulus griseus (Chinese hamster). RNAcentral's name for it is "lncRNA (ENSCGRG00015036211.1)". Lineage: Eukaryota; Metazoa; Chordata; Mammalia; Rodentia; Cricetidae. The record is from RNAcentral.